This 521-nucleotide ribosomal RNA is filed under the name uncultured fungus. RNAcentral's name for it is "eukaryotic LSU rRNA". The stretch from base 161 to 314 matches the Rfam family "5.8S ribosomal RNA". The record is from RNAcentral. Lineage: Eukaryota; Fungi.
GAGGGAUCAUUACCGAGUUUACAACUCCCAAACCCCUGUGAACAUACCAAUUGUUGCCUCGGCGGAUCAGCCCGCUCCCGGUAAAACGGGACGGCCCGCCAGAGGACCCCUAAACUCUGUUUCUAUAUGUAACUUCUGAGUAAAACCAUAAAUAAAUCAAAACUUUCAACAACGGAUCUCUUGGUUCUGGCAUCGAUGAAGAACGCAGCAAAAUGCGAUAAGUAAUGUGAAUUGCAGAAUUCAGUGAAUCAUCGAAUCUUUGAACGCACAUUGCGCCCGCCAGUAUUCUGGCGGGCAUGCCUGUUCGAGCGUCAUUUCAACCCUCAAGCCCAGCUUGGUGUUGGGACUCGCGAGUCAAAUCGCGUUCCCCAAAUUGAUUGGCGGUCACGUCGAGCUUCCAUAGCGUAGUAGUAAAACCCUCGUUACUGGUAAUCGUCGCGGCCACGCCGUUAAACCCCAACUUCUGAAUGUUGACCUCGGAUCAGGUAGGAAUACCCGCUGAACUUAAGCAUAUCGAUAAG